CCCUUAGAUGUUCUGGGCCGCACACGCGCUACACUGAAGGAGGCAGCGUGUACUCCUGGAUCGAAAGAUUUGGGUAACCCGCGAAUCUCCUUCGUGCUAGGGAUUGAGGUUUGCAAUUAUCCUUCAUGAACGAGGAAUUCCCAGUAAGUGCAAGUCAUAAGCUUGCGCUGACUACGUCCCUGCCCUUUGUACGCACCGCCCGUCGCUACUACCGAUUGAAUGAUUUAGUGAGGACUUCGGACUGGGACCGAUGCGGCUUUCGGGCUGCGUCGGUAUUCUGGAAAGAUGUCCAAACUGUAUCAUUUAGAGGAAGUAAAAGUCGUAACA
RNAcentral lists this ribosomal RNA (327 nucleotides) under uncultured eukaryote. Its description in RNAcentral is "partial 18S ribosomal RNA". It matches the Rfam family "Eukaryotic small subunit ribosomal RNA", at positions 1470 to 1796 of the family's 1831-position model. The record is from RNAcentral.